AGGACGAACGCUGGCGGCGUGCUUAACACAUGCAAGUCGAGCGGAAAGGCCCUUUCGGGGGUACUCGAGCGGCGAACGGGUGAGUAACACGUGAGUAACCUGCCUUUGGCUUUGGGAUAACCCUCGGAAACGGGGGCUAAUACCGAAUAUUCAUUCUUGCCGGCAUCGGUGGGGGUGGAAAGUUUUUCGGCCAGGGAUGGGCUCGCGGCCUAUCAGCUUGUUGGUGGGGUAAUGGCCUACCAAGGCUUUGACGGGUAGCC
This 260-nucleotide ribosomal RNA is filed under the name uncultured bacterium. RNAcentral's name for it is "partial small subunit ribosomal RNA". It matches the Rfam family "Bacterial small subunit ribosomal RNA", at positions 26 to 288 of the family's 1533-position model. The record is from RNAcentral.